RNAcentral lists this ribosomal RNA (466 nucleotides) under uncultured bacterium. RNAcentral describes it as "bacterial SSU rRNA". It matches the Rfam family "Bacterial small subunit ribosomal RNA", at positions 50 to 507 of the family's 1533-position model. The record is from RNAcentral.
AACACAUGCAAGUCGAACGGUAACGCGGAGAGCUUGCUCUCUGGCGACGAGUGGCGGACGGGUGAGUAAUACUUAGGAAUCUACCCAGUAGUGGGGGACAACAUUCGGAAACGGAUGCUAAUACCGCAUACGCACUACGGUGGAAAGUGGGGGACCUUCGGGCCUCACGCUAUUGGAUGAGCCUAAGUCGGAUUAGCUAGUUGGUGAGGUAAGAGCUCACCAAGGCGACGAUCUCUAGCUGGUCUGAGAGGAUGAUCAGCCACACUGGAACUGAGACACGGUCCAGACUCCUACGGGAGGCAGCAGUGGGGAAUAUUGGACAAUGGGCGCAAGCCUGAUCCAGCAAUGCCGCGUGUGUGAAGAAGGCCUGCGGGUUGUAAAGCACUUUCAGUAGAGAAGAAAAGCCUAGGGUUAAUACCCCUGAGUCUUGACGUUACCUACAGAAGAAGCACCGGCUAACUCCGUG